RNAcentral lists this ribosomal RNA (811 nucleotides) under uncultured bacterium. RNAcentral's name for it is "bacterial SSU rRNA". It matches the Rfam family "Bacterial small subunit ribosomal RNA", at positions 8 to 817 of the family's 1533-position model. The record is from RNAcentral.
AGAGUUUGAUCCUGGCUCAGGAUGAACGCUGGCGGCGUGCCUAACACAUGCAAGUCGAACGGAACUUCUUUGACAGAAUUCUACGGAAGGAAGUUGAUUAAGUUUAGUGGCGGACGGGUGAGUAACGCGUGAGUAACCUGCCUUUGAGAGGGGAAUAACUUCCCGAAAGGGAUGCUAAUACCGCAUGACGCAUAUUUAUCGCAUGGUAGAUAUGCCAAAGAUUUAUCGCUCAAAGAUGGACUCGCGUCCGAUUAGCCAGUUGGCGGGGUAACGGCCCACCAAAGCGACGAUCGGUAGCCGGACUGAGAGGUUGAACGGCCACAUUGGGACUGAGACACGGCCCAGACUCCUACGGGAGGCAGCAGUGGGGGAUAUUGCGCAAUGGGGGAAACCCUGACGCAGCAACGCCGCGUGAAGGAUGAAGGUUUUCGGAUUGUAAACUUCUUUUAUUUAGGACGAAGAAUGACGGUACUAAAUGAAUAAGCUCCGGCUAACUACGUGCCAGCAGCCGCGGUAAUACGUAGGGAGCAAGCGUUAUCCGGAUUUACUGGGUGUAAAGGGUGCGUAGGCGGCUUGGUAAGUCAGAUGUGAAAUGUAUGGGCUCAACCCAUGCACUGCAUUUGAAACUAUUGAGCUUGAGUGAAGUAGAGGUAGGCGGAAUUCCCUGUGUAGCGGUGAAAUGCGUAGAGAUAGGGAGGAACACCAGUGGCGAAGGCGGCCUACUGGGCUUUAACUGACGCUGAGGCACGAAAGCGUGGGUAGCAAACAGGAUUAGAUACCCUGGUAGUCCACGCUGUAAACGAUGAUUACU